GCCGGGCGUGGUGGCUCACGCCUGUAAUCCCAGCACUUUAGGAGGCCGAGGCGGGAGGAUCACUUGAGGUCAGGAGUUCGAGACCAGCCUGGCCAACACGGUGAAACCCCGUCUCUA
Molecule: non-coding RNA, 117 nt
Filed under: Pan paniscus (pygmy chimpanzee)
Lineage: Eukaryota; Metazoa; Chordata; Mammalia; Primates; Hominidae
Also listed under: 1 other name
Source: Rfam by way of RNAcentral